This is a long non-coding RNA of Ostrinia nubilalis (European corn borer), 1708 nucleotides long. RefSeq lists it as uncharacterized. NCBI's taxonomy places the organism in Eukaryota, Metazoa, Arthropoda, Insecta, Lepidoptera, Crambidae. The record is from RefSeq and is a predicted model, not a curated record. The transcript has 5 exons.
UUUGAUUUAGUCAAUGGCCGACUGAUCUGUGUGGCCGACGCGCGCAUUGUUUACAUAUCCUUCAGAUUGACACUUAUUAAUUAAAUUUAAAUUAUGCCGUCUUGUGUCGUUCCAACAUGCAAGCAUGCUACUGGGAUCACGAAGAAAUUGCAUGGGAUCACGUUUCAUGUCUUUCCAGUUGACGAAGUAAGGAAAUCAGAAUGGACAAAAAUAAUUCGAAGAGCACGGCUAGAUGAUUUAUGGAAACCAUCGAAGAAAAGCCUAAUUUGCUCAAUUCACUUUGAGGAGCAAUAUUUUUAUGAGACGCCAGGUGGUUAUAAAAGACUAUACAAAAAAGCUGUUCCAAAUAGGAAGAUGAAUUUACCUCCAGAAACGUCCGAGACACCUGUUGGAAUAUCAGUACCUUUAGUGCUCAAAAGUGAACCUACAGGAUCAAAUACAGUGAUUGAUAAUGUAAAUAAUUUGGAUUUGGUCCCAGAAAAAUACAAUGCAUCUGUGGGAAUAUCUGGACUUUUGAUACCUAAAACUGAAUUUCAGGAUACACAGCCAGAAUUGCCUACGGGAUCAAAUUCAAGCAUUGGUGAUGUUUCUGUACUUGAAUCUCCAAGAGAAAUUAUACUUAAAGCACAGUUGCGCCGUAAACAAAUGUUUUGUAAGCGAUAUGUUCGAAAAAUAAAAACUUUACAACAAAAAAUCAAACGGCUUGCUAAAAGAAAUGAAUCUUUAAAAAGUAUCAUAAGGAAUUUAAAAAAUAACCGGUAAAAUUUAAAGUAAAAUCUUUGUUAAAAUUGUUCAAAUGUUGCUUAAAAUCAAAUUGUUUCCUGUUUCGAGAGUUAAAUAUAUCAAAAAGAUGAUUCAUGUUACUAAGAAAUAGUUCAGUUGGCUUGGAAUUUUUUAAAGAUGGAUAGUUUGGCAUCCUCCCUGCAAAAUUGUAACGCCUAGUUGCCACGCUUCUACUUAAGACUUGACUAGCAAGUUUUACUUUCAUAAUAUUAUUGCGGAACAUAAAUGUCUUCGUGUAGGCUUGUUAGCGAAAUGUAAGCCUUCGUUUUCUUGGAGUUUAUUUAAUUGACGUAAAAGAUCCCAGUAAGUUUUAUUGUUAUCGUUGUCUAAAAUUACUUUUUUAGAUUCCCAAUUAUUUCGUACAAGCUUAAACACGCGGAGAGGGUCUAAAAAUAUAGCCACAGAAUUGUUUAGCCUUACAGUUGUUUUCGCACUAUUAUACUUUCGCCGAAAAAAAUAUAAGCCUAAUAUUUAAAAUCCCUAAUAUUACUGCCCUACACUACACUUUUGCCCGUAGUUUUGUAGUGUACCUAAAAUUCCUUUAUGCGAUUUAUUUCUCUUUUGGAGACGGCAGGUGUUUUUGUUUAAUUUUUUUUUAUAAUUUUCCUAUUUUGGAGAUUAAGUAAUGACCUUUUAUUUAACUUUUUUUAGGAGUGUCGAAUAUAACGUUAUAAUCGUUUAAAAUAACUAGCAUUUGCCCGCGGCUUCGCCUGCGUUCAAUUCAGUUGUCACAAUCACAAAUCAUUCGAAAUUGUAGGCUUAUGUUAUUCUGAUGUAUAAAUAGGUACUGUUAAGUUUCUUCAAAGUCUGCAUAGUAUUUUUUUGCUUGAAAACUCGCAUUUGCAUGUAUAUUAGUAGGACUAGUUGAUUUAGUAGGAUAUAAUUAUUCUAAAAGUUUACAUAAUAAAGUAUUACCUUAAGUUUC